Molecule: ribosomal RNA, 497 nt
Filed under: uncultured bacterium
Lineage: Bacteria
Description: partial 16S ribosomal RNA
Rfam family: Bacterial small subunit ribosomal RNA
Source: RNAcentral
GAUGAACGCUGGCGGCGUGCCUAAUACAUGCAAGUCGAGCGAACAGACGAGGAGCUUGCUCCUCUGACGUUAGCGGCGGACGGGUGAGUAACACGUGGAUAACCUACCUAUAAGACUGGGAUAACUUCGGGAAACCGGAGCUAAUACCGGAUAACAUGUUGAACCGCAUGGUUUAACAGUGAAAGACGGUCUUGCUGUCACUUAUAGAUGGAUCCGCGCCGCAUUAGCUAGUUGGUAAGGUAACGGCCUACCAAGGCAACGAUGCGUAGCCGACCUGAGAGGGUGAUCGGCCACACUGGAACUGAGACACGGUCCAGACUCCUACGGGAGGCAGCAGUAGGGAAUCUUCCGCAAUGGGCGAAAGCCUGACGGAGCAACGCCGCGUGAGUGAAGAAGGUCUUCGGAUCGUAAAACUCUGUUAUUAGGGAAGAACAAAUGUGUAAGUAACUAUGCACGUCUUGACGGUACCUAAUCAGAAAGCCACGGCUAACUACGUG